AUUGUGGUCACCGAGUGUGAGCCGGGCUGUGCUGUGGACCUCGGCUUGGCCCGGGACCGGCCCCUGGAGGCCGAUGGCCAACAGGUCCCCCCCGACACCUCCGGGUCCCAGGCCCGGCCCCACCUCUCCGGUCGCAAGCUGUCUCUGCAAGAGCGGUCCCAGGGUGGGCUGGCAGCCGGUGGCAGCCUGGACAUGAACGGACGCUGCAUCUGCCCGUCCCUGCCCUACUCGCCCGUCAGCUCCCCGCAAUCCUCGCCUCGGCUGCCCCGGCGGCCGACAGUGGAGUCUCACCACGUCUCCAUUACGGGACUGUGUGCAGCUGAAUCAGUAUACCCUGAAGGAUGAAAUUGGAAAGAUCUUAACUUCUGGAUAGUAUGUCAUGGGCAUCUCCCUUUAUCCAGGGCUCCUAUGGUGUCGUCAAGUUGGCCUACAAUGAAAAUGACAAUACCUACUAUGCAAUGAAGGUGCUGUCCAAAAAGAAGCUGAUCCGGCAGGCCGGCUUUCCACGUCGCCCCCCACCCCGAGGCACCCGGCCAGCUCCUGGAGG
RNAcentral lists this small RNA (547 nucleotides) under Pongo abelii (Sumatran orangutan). Its description in RNAcentral is "retained intron". The record is from RNAcentral. Lineage: Eukaryota; Metazoa; Chordata; Mammalia; Primates; Hominidae.